GUUGGAGCAAGUCCAACAGACCUCACCGAUAAAUCGCUGAGGAAAGUCCACCCACCGAGUAAAAAGUCACUCGUGUUAUGCGAGAUGGAGAAAUCCAUGGCAAUGGGCCAGAAAAACACGUCCACAUUUCGGGAUGAAAAUGGCGAAGCUUUGCUGCGAAGCAAGUGAGUUUUUGUUGAAUAAAUUCAACAAACCUUCAACUAGCGUUGAAGUAACCCGUAGACUAUGUUUUGUGGGAUCGGUGAAAUCCGAAUCCUGGCUGGUGCAAGUGCUGUUUAGCAUGCUAAGUAGAAUGUUAAGGCAGUCUGCCCAUGUGAAGGCAUAGCAAACUUUUAGUUUGCAGGUACCUCGUGGAGACUGACAAAAGGUGGCUUAUCGCUUCUCUACC
This 388-nucleotide RNase P RNA is filed under the name Candidatus Woesearchaeota archaeon. RNAcentral describes it as "RNase P RNA component". It matches the Rfam family "Archaeal RNase P". From Rfam's summary of the family: Ribonuclease P (RNase P) is a ubiquitous endoribonuclease, found in archaea, bacteria and eukarya as well as chloroplasts and mitochondria. Its best characterised activity is the generation of mature 5'-ends of tRNAs by cleaving the 5'-leader elements of precursor-tRNAs. Lineage: Archaea; Nanobdellati; Candidatus Woesearchaeota. The record is from RNAcentral.